AAUGGAACAAUGAGUAACGCAGUGCUGUACAUUCAGGUGGCGUUUGUGGUUCUGGGCACCGUAGCCGCCCAAGGAGUAUUCAAUUGUCAAGAAGUAGCACCGGCGCAGAGAGUCCCCUGCGGUGUUACAGGCAUCCCCUUUGAUCAGUGUAGAGGUAUGGGCUGCUGCUAUGACACAAGUUUCCCCGGAGCCCCCGUGUGUUACACCAAAGCAGCACAACCAGUAGUAAUGGUCGCACCACCACCAGGGCCAAGCGAGGCCGAAAAACUGCAAGCGCUGUGCUUGAAAUGUGCUCAACUUAGAUCGCAGGGUCUCCUGGGUGGUCUCCUGACUGAUGUUACUGAUAUUCUAUUUGGAAAUAAACAUCCGGAGUGCGCUCCAUGUGGUCACGGUGGACUUCUGAAACGGGAAUCUCCUCUCUAGAAUAUCGGAGGGAUCACUACGAAAGCAUGGCUGAAGACUCCUACAGAGAAACCAAUAUAAGCUAUGUGUGUAGGUGUAGCGCAUAUUACUCUAUGUCUAGUACAGCAAUAUAUAUGUAUGUUUAAUUGAGUUUGUACCUGCACUAAGAUUGUCUACUAUGCAGAAAUGAAUGCAUCUAAUGCGUCAAUGAAUCAGGGUGUUUCUGUACUUGCUGAAAUAAUCAGUGUAAUUGAAUAAAAGAGUCUGCAUUAUGCAUUAUU
Pseudophryne corroboree (corroboree frog) is the source of this 683-nucleotide long non-coding RNA. RefSeq lists it as uncharacterized. The transcript has 3 exons. The record is from RefSeq and is a predicted model, not a curated record. NCBI's taxonomy places the organism in Eukaryota, Metazoa, Chordata, Amphibia, Anura, Myobatrachidae.